RNAcentral lists this ribosomal RNA (200 nucleotides) under uncultured bacterium. RNAcentral's name for it is "partial 16S ribosomal RNA". It matches the Rfam family "Bacterial small subunit ribosomal RNA", at positions 8 to 205 of the family's 1533-position model. The record is from RNAcentral.
AGAGUUUGAUCCUGGCUCAGGACGAACGCUGGCGGCGUGCUUAACACAUGCAAGUCGAACGGAAAGGCCCAAGCUUGCUUGGGUACUCGAGUGGCGAACGGGUGAGUAACACGUGGGUGAUCUGCCCCUAACUUCGGGAUAAGCUUGGGAAACUGGGUCUAAUACCGGAUAGGACCAUGAUUUAGUGUUCAUGGUGGAAA